GCAACGAUGCAUAGCCGACCUGAGAGGGUGAUCUGCCACCCUGGGACUGAGACACGGCCCAGACUCCUACGGGAGGCAGCAGUAGGGAAUCUUCCGCAAUGGACGAAAGUCUGACGGAGCAACGCCGCGUGUAUGAAGAAGGUUUUCGGAUCGUAAAGUACUGUUGUUAGAGAAGAACAAGGAUAAGAGUAACUGCUUGUCCCUUGACGGUAUCUAACCAGAAAGCCACGGCUAACUACGUGCCAGCAGCCGCGGUAAUACGUAGGUGGCAAGCGUUGUCCGGAUUUAUUGGGCGUAAAGCGCGCGCAGGCGGUCUUUUAAGUCUGAUGUGAAAGCCCCCGGCUUAACCGGGGAGGGUCAUUGGAAACUGGAAGACUGGAGUGCAGAAGAGGAGAGUGGAAUUCCACGUGUAGCGGUGAAAUGCGCA
This 427-nucleotide ribosomal RNA is filed under the name Klebsiella pneumoniae. RNAcentral's name for it is "bacterial SSU rRNA". It matches the Rfam family "Bacterial small subunit ribosomal RNA", at positions 273 to 692 of the family's 1533-position model. The record is from RNAcentral. Lineage: Bacteria; Pseudomonadati; Pseudomonadota; Gammaproteobacteria; Enterobacterales; Enterobacteriaceae.